This is a long non-coding RNA of Apis mellifera (honey bee), 1910 nucleotides long. RefSeq lists it as uncharacterized. The record is from RefSeq and is a predicted model, not a curated record. NCBI's taxonomy places the organism in Eukaryota, Metazoa, Arthropoda, Insecta, Hymenoptera, Apidae. The transcript is spliced from 2 exons.
AAAACACUGUCAUAGAGAGAAUCUAUCUAGUGGAUAGUUGUGUUGUCAGCCGCGCGAUUCAAAUCGUGCGCCAAGGCAAGGCAAUAAGGAUUUGGUGAGCCGGUGAAUGGUUUGAUAACAAGCAGUGGAAGGAAGGUACAGGGGAGACGCACAUUGCCCGUCGGUUGGUGGACCAUUCAGUGACGCGAUUCUUCACUGUCCGGCACUGAUUUCAAUUGGUAAAUUGAUUUGGAACGAUGGCAAGAGAGAAAAAAGAGAGAAAGACUGAGUUAGACGGGAGAGGUUCGGAGACCAGUAUGUAGGAGAUGAUAAAGAAAGAACCAUAUACCAUUACCGUGACUGGGUGUACCGUCACAGAAAACCAUAGCGGUGGCAGUGGCAGUGCCUCUCUUGCGAACCGUUAAUAGGUACUGAACGCUGGUUGAAUGCUUAAUGCACCGUGCUUCUAGGAUUAAAUUGACCAAUCAUUUCCCGCGCGGCAAGGAGCGGCCAAUUACAGCGCUCGUCCGACUAUAUUAAGCCAAUCAAGAACAGUUUAUCGCUCAGUCGUCAGUCUGCAGUUGUGAUGCGUGUGUCGUGCGCGUGUUUUUUUUCCCUUUCCAAACAAUUCUAACUCGUGAAAUAAAUGAAUCGCGUGAGAAAAAUAUGAACAUUUGUCAUGAAUUACUCGAGAUCGUUUAUCAAUUUUAAUAAUCGUUCAGUGAAUUAGAUCACAUUCUUCCACUUAUUCUCUAUGGCGUGGCGGAUUUUAGAGAAUGUUUGAAAUUCUGAUCAAAUCGAACGAAUCACAGUUUCUUUAUAGAAAGAAUUUUUUAUUAUUGAUAUAAUUAUUCGACGAACAUGUGGGAAAGAAUUGUGCAAGAGCGCAAGAAAAGCACGUGAAAAAGCAUAAAACAACAUGCAUUAUUUUACUCUAUGUAUAUACAUUCCAUUCAUAUUCAUUUCUGGUGACGGUUCGUAUUUCGAUCCUUGGAGAUCGUUUCUUGUGAUUACCGUGCAUUUCUCUCUUCAUCAACUAUUUAUUAAUCAGUUGAACUUUAAAUAUUUUUUCGGAAUCUAUUUGAAAUGAGAGUGUGGUGUUACUAUAAGAUUUUCAAAAUAUUCCAACGUUAUUCGAAGAUCAUAAUAAACAUCAGAUGACUGGAGACUAUAAUAUUAAUAAGUGUGAAAGAAUAUCAAUGGACGCUAGUGUCAAAUAGAAGUUAAAGACUUUUCCUCGAGAAUAUUUUCCGUGCUCGGCUUACAACAUCUGAAAAACGAGAUCACAUGUGACCACACACAUAAUAACCUCGCAAAGUAUCGUUUUAACCUGACACUUGAUGAAAUACAUAUAGAAGUCUCGAGAAGAAGCAAAAAGAAAGAGAAAACCAAUAUAAGAUCCCUCGUGAAAUCACACAAAUGAUAAAAGACCAAAUGUUCGCGAUUUUCUCAUUGAGAAAUAAGAGAAUUGAAUCUGUGUUCGAAAUGUGAUGAUUUCUACGAGAUGAAACAUUGUAAUUGGAAACAUUUUAAAUUGUAAUGGCACGCAUUGCGUGGCUAAGCUUUAUCGUCACGACUUCUUGACCCCUCUUAAAUGAUAGUAUAAAGUACGAAAGAACACGAGUUGAAGAAAAUCAUUAAGUUCUAGAAUCUAAAUAUCGACGAAAGCAAACUUAUGUAAAAGUUAUAAAGGUAGAGAUGGAAUAAAAUUUUUGUUUAAUUUCUUUCUAUAUUAUUGCAAUAUUUUGUUUGAAAAUGACGCAAUAUUUAUGUAUCAAAAGUUAUAAUCCUACAAGCAGUUACGGAAAAAUCGUAAAGUACUUCUUCGUUUUCAACGCACUGUUCUUAAAAUAGAACAUUUUCGGUUGCAGAACCGAAACAGAGACCACGAGUCUCGAGGCUUCGCGAAUUUUUAUAGAGAAUCACAGUAA